This is a long non-coding RNA of Oryzias melastigma (Indian medaka), 393 nucleotides long. RefSeq lists it as uncharacterized. The record is from RefSeq and is a predicted model, not a curated record. The transcript is spliced from 3 exons. Lineage: Eukaryota; Metazoa; Chordata; Actinopteri; Beloniformes; Adrianichthyidae.
AAUUUCAUAAAUUUAAAAGAAAUUUUAUUUAAUGUCAGAGUAACGUUGACUCCCACUGCAUCCCGGGGGAGACCCGCAAGCUGACCCGCGUUAAAAAACUGUUAGAAUGGUUUGUUUUAGUGUUCUGGCUCAACAUUUUCCUAACUCCGUUGAAAACACAGAAGGCGGCUUUUCCGGUUCGUCGUCAGCGAAGCAAACAUCCGGAGCUGGAAACAUUUGAAUCCAGCAACAGAACUUCCAGUGAUGUGACUGAUUUCAUCAUAAACAAGACCAAGAAAAGCUGCAGUCGACCCAGCGGCCUCUACCUCAGCAGCAUCUCUUCCCUUUUCCACACCGCUUGUCUUUUUAUAGAAAUACUUUCCGAGUUAACAAUAAAGAGAUGAGUCAAGCAUG